ACUGCCCCGAGGCGGAGGACCGGCCCGGAGCUCUGCGCCCCGGCCGACCAGCUGUCUGCUGUUGUUCCGGACAUGCCCAUAAACUCACCUGUUCCAGCUCGCACUCAGGACUCGGGAAUGAACCCCACAGCAUGAGGUGUAUGGACAACAUAGUGACGGUCCUGGAUGUCUGAACAGAAAGAAGAGGAGCCAAGCAUGGAGGAGACGGCAGGGGAGCAACCACAGCCUGAGGUGCACACUGACGCAUGGUGACAACAGCCACCAAGAUUUGAGUCUGGAGGGUGAUGCCAGAAAUCCGGAUGUGGAGACAAGACAAACACAUCAAAUCUCAAGCAAAAGGCCGUCACAAAGUGGCUCCUGCUGUUCUACCCAGCUGCCUUGCCUGCGCCUCCCAGUCCAGGUCCUCACCACAGUGCCCACCUGGUUAAGACAGAUGUGUCAGUGUUGGGCAGAUAUUUACUCAGCCAUCUACUUCCUGGCUUCCUGGUUCUGUGUGUUAGAUCCUGUAGUCACCCCCAGGCUGGAGGCCAGUGUUUUUGCUGGGUGGGAGUAAAGGGACGCAUAAACAGAGUCAACCCUCUUGUGUUCUAAAAAUCCAGGCUGGAAUUAUGUACAUAUUUCAUGUCAGAAAAAUAAAAUGUGUCUUGGCAGCAGCUGGAACAUU
Non-coding RNA from Heterocephalus glaber (naked mole-rat), 664 nucleotides. Lineage: Eukaryota; Metazoa; Chordata; Mammalia; Rodentia; Bathyergidae. The record is from RefSeq and is a predicted model, not a curated record.